This 745-nucleotide ribosomal RNA is filed under the name uncultured Methanosarcinaceae archaeon. RNAcentral describes it as "SSU rRNA". It matches the Rfam family "Archaeal small subunit ribosomal RNA", at positions 116 to 859 of the family's 1478-position model. Lineage: Archaea; Methanobacteriati; Methanobacteriota; Methanomicrobia; Methanosarcinales; Methanosarcinaceae. The record is from RNAcentral.
UGGGACGGGGAUAACCCCGGGAAACUGGGGAUAAUACCGGAUAACGCAUAUAUGCUGGAAUGCUUUGUGCGUGAAAGGGAUUCGUCCGCCCAAGGAUGGGUCUGCGGCCGAUUAGGUAGUAGUGGGUGUAAUGUACCUACUAGCCUACAACGGGUACGGGUUGUGAGAGCAAGAGCCCGGAGAUGGAUUCUGAGACAUGAAUCCAGGCCCUACGGGGCGCAGCAGGCGCGAAAACUUUACAAUGCGGGAACCGGUGAUAAGGGGACCACGAGUGCUAGCAUCAUAUGCUGGCUGUCCAGGUGUGUAAAAUACACUUGUUAGCAAGGCCGGGCCAAGACCGGUGCCAGCCGCCGCGGUAACACCGGCGGCCCGAGUGGUGAUCGUGAUUAUUGGGUCUAAAGGGUCCGUAGCCGGUUUGGUCAGUCCUCCGGGAAAUCUGAUAGCUCAACUAUUAGGCUUUCGGGGGAUACUGCCAGACUUGGAACCGGGAGAGGUAAGAGGUACUACAGGGGUAGGAGUGAAAUCUUGUAAUCCCUGUGGGACCACCUGUGGCGAAGGCGUCUUACCAGAACGGGUUCGACGGUGAGGGACGAAAGCUGGGGGCACGAACCGGAUUAGAUACCCGGGUAGUCCCAGCCGUAAACGAUGCUCGCUAGGUGUCAGGCAUGGCGCGACCGUGUCUGGUGCCGCAGGGAAGCCGUGAAGCGAGCCACCUGGGAAGUACGGCCGCAAGGCUGAAACUUAA